Long non-coding RNA from Hevea brasiliensis (rubber tree), 1056 nucleotides. RefSeq lists it as uncharacterized. The transcript is spliced from 3 exons. The record is from RefSeq and is a predicted model, not a curated record. NCBI's taxonomy places the organism in Eukaryota, Viridiplantae, Streptophyta, Magnoliopsida, Malpighiales, Euphorbiaceae.
AAAUCUCACACUCAUUAUUCGUUUAAUGUUGCUCUGCGUUGAAUUGUUUUAUCGAUUCCAUUUCUUGCUUUGUUUGCUUUUAUGAACUGGGCUUAUAUUUUUUCGAUAGAUGUUUGUUUGUGGGUUUUGGCUACUCAUUAUGAAUUCUGGGGGUUUGGUUGAGUUGCCAUUGUGCUUGGUUGCUGAAAAAGCAUGGGAAAAUAAUGGCUAAAAGUUCUAAUUGAUUGUUAUUCAUGAUUGAGCAGGAAUUCAUUUAUUUAUGAAUGUGUUCGUGAUGGAUACUAAAAGUUUUGAGUAUUUGAACUUUUAGGGGACAAUGGUUUAAGGUUUAGCGGCCAAUUUGAGCUUUUAGUUGAAAUAAUUGAGCAGUUGGUUGCGUCUGGUAAAGUCAUUUUCACCCCACCUUGCAAAAUCCUUUUUUCCAAAUUCCCUCUAUAAGUUUCAAGGGCUGCUUCCUUUGAAUUUUUUGUUCCAAUGAGAAAGGGAAAGAAACUGACUUUUGAAGAUAUGACACCUUUCCAACGGUUGAAGAAAGUGAAGAACUUAGAAGGAGAUUCAGUCACCUACAAGUUGCUUAUCCCUUUGGACGAAUCAACUAAAACAUACACAUUGGAACCUAUUUUUAAUUAACAUGAUUCCUCUUAUGAUGAAUGGUUUCCUAACCACAACAAAGACCCCCUUAGGUUUCCCAAAUCCAAUGACAUGGUUAUUUGGGUCAAAUUCACACUUAGUAGGUCAUGGCCUCUUCCAAGCCAAUAUUAUCUAUGUUGGCUCAGCCAAGUUGAGGCCCAAUAUAAUGAACUUUGGGAUGAAAUAGCUAUUUUUGAUUUGAUCCAAUUUCCAUGAUUUUGAAUCCCACUCCAUAACAAUCUUCUUGCAUAAGCCCUUUUCUUUUGGUCAGGAACCUCAAAUUGCUUCCUGUUCAGGUAAGCCAUGAUAACAAAUACCUUGUAUGGCGUAGGAGUCAUGUUUGAUGACCCACCAUAUGGUGAAGAGAAAUCUUAGCUUUACAAAGUUUCCAUAGGUUUAAGUAAAUCUUGACCAAGAAUGCUUGGU